UCUGUUGUUAGCCUGCGACAGCUUUCAAGGUUGCUUAUGAAAGUUUAGGUCUGGAUGCAUCUGGUGGAAAAUCCGUUCAUUUUCAGAAGAUUUGGCACCUUAUUCAGGCAUUAACUGGUGAAGACUCGUCUGUUCCAAAAAGCGUGUCAAAAAAGAUGUCUUUAAUUAUUGGUGCAAGGCGCCAUCUUGAGCGGGGUCAUGAAAAAUAUGUAAUGGAUACUAUCCAAAGUCAUCCUGCCCAGGGAACUUGCUAUUUUGAUGUUCACGAUUACUCUCAUUAUAGGCUGCACUUGGUGGGGUUGUUGGAAACAUGCAAAGAAUUCGUGCAUUCCUCCAGAUUCGUUUGAGGGACUAUGGAGUUCUAGAGUUUGAUGCAGGUGAUUCUUGAAGGCAGCCUCCUAUUGAUACAACUAGGCAGCAGAUAUACUUUUGCCUGAGAACUGGGUAUUAUGAUGAAGCAAGA
This is a long non-coding RNA of Humulus lupulus (European hop), 463 nucleotides long. RefSeq lists it as uncharacterized. The record is from RefSeq and is a predicted model, not a curated record. The transcript is spliced from 5 exons. Lineage: Eukaryota; Viridiplantae; Streptophyta; Magnoliopsida; Rosales; Cannabaceae.